Long non-coding RNA from Oreochromis aureus, 1015 nucleotides. RefSeq lists it as uncharacterized. The record is from RefSeq and is a predicted model, not a curated record. NCBI's taxonomy places the organism in Eukaryota, Metazoa, Chordata, Actinopteri, Cichliformes, Cichlidae. The transcript is spliced from 3 exons.
CAGAAAAAGCUCCUUUAAAAAAAAAGAAGCAUGAAACCAAACCUGUGCCCUACAUACGAGGGAGUACUCUGCACGUCGUUGCAAAGCCGCGGCGUCCUCGCUCCACCCAUGUUUACCAGUUUGUUGUUGCCACGGGAACACCAUCUCGGCAGCCUAUUGGUCCACCCGGAGAGGUAUCGGCAGGUGAAGGAGUGCAGCUGCGUGGGCGUGAUGAGGGAGCGAGAAAGGGGCGGCUGAUAGCGACGGAAAGAUAAACAUUGCGAUAGGGAGGGCAAUAAAUGUAUGGAAAGGGUGGGGUGGAGGCUGUGAUAAAUGGACGGACAGAGGUGAAGGUGGAAGUGGUGGAGGCGGAGGAGGAGGAGGGGAAGGGGGGCACUGCACACACCUCGCUUGCUUUCUCAGAAACAGGAAGUCGUCAGUUGAACCGCCGUCUCCUCCGGUGACGCAGCUGGCUGAGUUUGAUGACGGCCAUGUGUCUGCGUUGCUCUGGCAACCGCUUGGCAAGGACAAACAUCCGGAUGUCAUGUCUCAGUUGCUGCACCGUCAUCGUUCUUCAUCAGAUUUGUUGUAGCAAGAAAAACCGCACUAUCAACCCAGGCUCUUUUUAAAAUUACCGAGGUAUAACUGCAUUCAGCUAAAUGAAUGAAUUCUGACAUGUCCAUGAAUGAGGUCGCUGUGGAAACAAACAGUACAUCCUAACUAAAGCACAAAUGAAAAAAUGGAAAACAGUGUAAGAUUUUCCUUUGUCCUCUUCUCAUAACCAUUAUUUAUAUAUAUAUUUUUUAUUGUUUUCGUGCAGAAAUGCCCUUUUUUAUUUCCCCUCACUACUUUUCCAGAUUGAUGUUUUUUCUCUCGUGUCCUCUUCUCCACAUUCUUGCUUGUUUUCUUUAUAAUGUGGACACAGAUUGAUGAAUGAGUCCCCUGGAAUUAUGAGUGUGGUUUUGACUUAGAAUAGUGAUGAAUUUUGCACUUUUUUUUAUUUUGAAAGUUGAAACUGCUGCCUGUCAAUUUCUUG